RNAcentral lists this ribosomal RNA (755 nucleotides) under Treponema socranskii. Its description in RNAcentral is "bacterial SSU rRNA". It matches the Rfam family "Bacterial small subunit ribosomal RNA", at positions 28 to 776 of the family's 1533-position model. Lineage: Bacteria; Pseudomonadati; Spirochaetota; Spirochaetia; Treponematales; Treponemataceae. The record is from RNAcentral.
AACGAACGCUGGCGGCGCGUCUUAACCAUGCAAGUCGAGCGGCAGGCAGCAAUGCCGAGAGCGGCGGACUGGUGAGUAACACGUGGAUAACGUACCCCGAUGCCCGGGACAGCCUGUAGAAAUAGAGGGUGAUACCGGAUAGAUCACUGUAUACGGAAGGUAGACAGCGGGAAAGGAGCUUCGGCUCCGCGCCGGGAACGGUCUGCGGCCCAUCAGCUGGACGGCGGGGUAACGGCCCGCCGUGGCGAGGACGGGUAUCCGGCCUGAGAGGGCGGACGGACACAUUGGGACUGAGAUACGGCCCAGACUCCUACGGGAGGCAGCAGGUAGGAAUAUUCCGCAAUGGGGGAAACCCUGACGGAGCGACGCCGCGUGAACGAAGAAGGCCGGAAGGUUGUAAAGUUCUUUUCUGUCCGAGGAAUAAGUGUAGGAGGAAAUGCCUGCAUGGUGACGGUAGGGCAGGAAUAAGCACCGGCUAAUUACGUGCCAGCAGUCGCGGUAACACGUAAGGUGCGAGCGUUGUUCGGAAUUAUUGGGCGUAAAGGGCAUGCAGGCGGGUCGCCAAGCUUGGUAAGAAAUACCGGGGCUCAACUCCGGAGCUAUAUUGAGAACUGGCGAGCUGGAGUUGCCGAAGGGUAUCCGGAAUUCCGCGUGAAGGGGUGAAAUCUGUAGAUAUGCGGAAGAACACCGAUGGCGAAGGCAGGAUACCGGCGGACGACUGACGCUGAGGUGCGAAGGUGCGGGGAGCAAACAGG